AGCUUUGUGCAGUAGCAGUUAUCAUAGACAAUGAGGUUUAUCCAAGCAUGAUUAUUGCUAAUUGAAAACUUUUCCCAAUACCCUGCUGUGACAACUUUGCAAUAUAGUCGACAUUGGCAAUUUUUGACAGUCUCCAUAUAUGAAGA
Small nuclear RNA from Cebus imitator (Panamanian white-faced capuchin), 146 nucleotides. Its record names the gene U4. It matches the Rfam family "U4 spliceosomal RNA". Rfam says of the family: U4 small nuclear RNA (U4 snRNA) is a component of the major U2-dependent spliceosome. The structure of U4 snRNA from yeast and human has been reported. U4 snRNA presents a k-turn RNA motif in the 5p-SL related to recognition of Snu13 protein. The record is from Ensembl. NCBI's taxonomy places the organism in Eukaryota, Metazoa, Chordata, Mammalia, Primates, Cebidae.